Molecule: long non-coding RNA, 269 nt
Organism: Magnolia sinica
Lineage: Eukaryota; Viridiplantae; Streptophyta; Magnoliopsida; Magnoliales; Magnoliaceae
Exons: 3
Source: RefSeq, a predicted model, not a curated record
ACUGCUACACAUGAUCCAUGAGGACUGGCAGAUACUCUGCGAUAGGUUUUCGUCUGAUUCUUUUCAAAAGAGGAGCAAAAUAAAUUCUGCCAACAGGGAAAAGUUAGAAGUGAACCACGUAGCUGGUUCAAAGUCAUUUGUACGACUUCGUCACGACAUGCGAGAUUCCGUCACUAGUCAGGAGCCCGGACCAGUAGACUUAUACAGAGGGACUCACUGUCAGCAGGCGUCGGGAUCUUGGGUACAUCCUAGAGCCAGCAAGAUUUGGG